AGAGUGCGUAAUAGCUCACUAGUCGAGUGAUCCUGCGCCGAAAAUGUACCGGGGCUAAGCAUACUACCGAAACCAUGGAUGCGACCAUUAGGUCGCGUGAUAGGAGAGCGUUCUAAGGGCGGUGAAGCAAGAUCGUGAGGACUUGUGGAGCGCUUAGAAGUGAGAAUGCCGGUAUGAGUAGCGAAAGAUAGGUGAGAAUCCUAUCCACCGAAUGACU
This 217-nucleotide ribosomal RNA is filed under the name Lactobacillus delbrueckii subsp. bulgaricus. Its description in RNAcentral is "partial 23S ribosomal RNA". It matches the Rfam family "Bacterial large subunit ribosomal RNA", at positions 1127 to 1346 of the family's 2925-position model. The record is from RNAcentral. Lineage: Bacteria; Bacillati; Bacillota; Bacilli; Lactobacillales; Lactobacillaceae.